This 495-nucleotide ribosomal RNA is filed under the name uncultured bacterium. Its description in RNAcentral is "partial 16S ribosomal RNA". It matches the Rfam family "Bacterial small subunit ribosomal RNA", at positions 28 to 507 of the family's 1533-position model. The record is from RNAcentral.
GACGAACGCUGGCGGCGUGCCUAAUACAUGCAAGUCGAACGCUGAAGGAGGAGCUUGCUUCUCUGGAUGAGUUGCGAACGGGUGAGUAACGCGUAGGUAACCUGCCUGGUAGCGGGGGAUAACUAUUAGAAACGAUAGCUAAUACCGCAUAAGAGUAGAUGUUGCAUGACAUUUGCUUAAAAGGUGCAAUUGCAUCACUACCAGAUGGACCUGCGUUGUAUUAGCUAGUUGGUGGGGUAACGGCUCACCAAGGCGACGAUACAUAGCCGACCUGAGAGGGGGGUCGGCCACACUGGGACUGAGACACGGCCCAGACUCCUACGGGAGGCAGCAGUAGGGAAUCUUCGGCAAUGGACGGAAGUCUGACCGAGCAACGCCGCGUGAGUGAAGAAGGUUUUCGGAUCGUAAAGCUCUGUUGUAAGAGAAGAACGAGUGUGAGAGUGGAAAGUUCACACUGUGACGGUAUCUUACCAGAAAGGGACGGCUAACUACGUG